Molecule: unclassified non-coding RNA, 340 nt
Filed under: soil metagenome
Description: partial contains 5.8S ribosomal RNA, internal transcribed spacer 2, and large subunit ribosomal RNA
Rfam family: 5.8S ribosomal RNA (bases 1-120)
Source: RNAcentral
GAUGAAGAACGCAGCGAAAUGCGAUAAGUAAUGCGAAUUGCAGAUCUCCGUGAGUCAUUGAAUCUUUGAACGCACAUUGCGCCCUCGGGUAUUCCCGAGGGCAUGCCUGUCCGAGCGUCAUUAUCCAACCAUCAAGCUCGGCUUGCGGUUGAGCCCCGCACCGUCCCCGGGACGGUGGGCUCGAAACAUGUUGGGCGCCCGUGAGGUUGUCGGUGCAGCGAGCUCUCGAGCACGUGCCGGGCAACAGCUCUGGGCGUCGGCCAGCCCCCCCAUUUUCUCAGGUUGACCUCGGAUCAGGUAGGAAUACCCGCUGAACUUAAGCAUAUCAAUAAGCGGAGGA